Molecule: unclassified non-coding RNA, 240 nt
Filed under: soil metagenome
Description: partial contains 5.8S ribosomal RNA, internal transcribed spacer 2, and large subunit ribosomal RNA
Source: RNAcentral
AACCAUUCUCACCUGCGGCUAGACCUGCGGAAGGAUCAUUACCGAGUUAGGGUGUCCGUUCGCAGCGCCCGACCUCCCAACCCUUUGUCUAUGAUACCUAAACAGUUGCUUCGGCGUGCCGAGGGGUCGUACCCUCGCCGGGCCUCACGGCCGGGAGCGCGCACGUCGACGGCCUUUAUCUAACACUUGAACCCAAAACCUGUCGUCUGAAAACUUGUGAUUAACCAAUAAUCAAAAACA